AUGCUCGAUAUAAGGUCGGCAUCCCUACUAGUUCCCAGGCACGGCGCGGACACCACCGUGCACGCCCUCCGCGCGCUCGCAAUGGGAGUAAUCCACAUGGCGGACGACGAGACAGCCUCCAGGGCAUGUCCGCCGUCGCCUCCCGCCUCCAUCUGCGCAAUGAUCGGUGGCCACGGUGCACCUGGUAGUAUUGCAGCCAUGAGCGUCAGGCGAGUCGCUGCCGUUUCGGCCAUGAUCGACGAGGUCGCCCAGGGAAGGAGGAGGAAGACGACGAGGAAGCGGCGCAUGGGCAACUAUCGCUGCUACGAGGAGGUGUGCACGAUCGGCGGGGGCACGUUCGGCGAGGUCUUCAAGGCGCGGCACCGCGCCACCGGCCAGACCGUCGCCGUGAAGGCUCUCCGCUGCGAACGGUCCGACUCCAAACACGUCGUCGGCGAGCUCCUUCGGGAGGCCUGCAUCAUGGCGGCAUGCGGCGGCCACCCCUCCCUCGUCGCCCUGCGCGGCGUCGUGCGCACACCGCGCGACAUCAAGGGGCGCAGGGACUACUUCCUCGUCAUGGAAUUCGCCGGGCCAAGCCUGCGCAAGGUCCUCAACAAGCGAAUCCGUCUCGGUCGCCGGCUGUUCUCGGAAAGGGACGUGCGCUCCAUCGUGCGGCAGCUGCUAGCCGGCGCGGAGGCGAUGCACACGCACGGCAUCAUGCACCGCGACAUCAAGCCUGAGAACAUCCUCGUGGUCCAGAACGGCGGCAGCAUCGUCGUCAAGAUCGGAGACUACGGGGCGGCGAUGUCCACGGCCGAGCGGGACCCCGAGAAGUAUUGGGCUGCCGGGACUUGGGUGUACAGCGCGCCGGAGAUGCUGCUGGAGGAUCCCCGCUACGACACGCGCGUCGACCUGUGGUCCAUCGGCUGCGUGAUGGCGGAGCUCCUCACCGGGAACAAGCUGUUCCCAGGGGACGGCAUAGACGAGCUGCUCUACAAGAUCUUCGAUCUGCUCGGCACGCUAGGCGAGAGAGAGAGUCGGGGCCUGCCUUCAGUUCGCCGGGACACGAGGUACAGGCACAGCAAUGGCGAGCGCACCAACGGCUGCGCAAGCUAUUCCCCGAGAAGCUGCUGUCCAAGGAAGGGUUCCAGGUCCUCCAGGGGCUCCUCACGUGCAAUCCAUCCAGGCGGCUGGAUGCUGCCGCCGCGCUCCGGCUUCCGUGGUUCACCGUUCACCGACACCGGUGGCAUGCCGGUUGCCGCUGUUCCGGAGACUGGCGCCCCGACCGUUCGGUCUGGGACGAUUCCUGGCCGAACAAGUCGUUCGGUACCUGGUGAUCGAUCCGUCGAACGGGACGUCCUGUGCGACGCAUUUUGCGUCGACUAA
Molecule: ribosomal RNA, 1365 nt
Filed under: Triticum aestivum (bread wheat)
Lineage: Eukaryota; Viridiplantae; Streptophyta; Magnoliopsida; Poales; Poaceae
Description: partial small subunit ribosomal RNA
Source: RNAcentral